AAAACAAUCUCGAUAACCGUUUAGAUUAGCAAAUACAAGCAUCAAAAUUCACAAAGCGGGAAACGAGAUCAUGACUCAAUCCGGGAAACGAAAUCGUCGAUUUGAAAGCAACGGUUCCAACCCGGAGGUGCGCUGCAAGAAAUCUCCGAGUUCUUCAUAAUACGUGUACUGAUUAGUUCUUAAACCAGGCUCAAACUCCUCGUUUUCAAUCUAGGUAAAUUACUUCUCAAGAACACCUCGAUUUUAUGUUAACUGUUUAGAUUAGACCUGUACAAAUCCAAAUGGUACUGCUACAAAAUUAUAAAAUAAUUAUCUCAAAUUAGUUUUUAAUGCUGAUAAAGUGACUUAGUUUGUUGGCUUAUCUAGGGUUGCUUGAAUUUAGUGUUUUUGUUGUAUGAAACUGAUUAGGGUUGAUCUUAUUCCAAUGUAUAAGGUUGAAUUCUGAGCAAGUAUUCGUGAAACAGAUUAUUCUUACAGCCAAAAUAAACACAACAUUUACUAUUUCAAUAAUUUUAAUUUUAAGCUGCUUGAAUUUCAAAACAUUCUAUGGUUUUAUUUUCUUUAGUUUUCACCAGAAAGAAACCAAUAAACCAAACCAUGUGUACAAUUGUUAUAUAAUUACCAUUCAGCAAGUUGUGUACACUACACAUUCACAUUUACUUAAGCCAAAUGAAUCCAAAGUUUCAUUUUUGGUUUGGAAAGGGAUCAUGGAAUUUUUUAAAUAAAGGGAAAUUGACAUUGAAAGCGAAUGUAUCUAUCAUUUGGUAAUUUAACCAUAAACUUUGCAAAUAUUACCAUUUUCUUAUAUAGGUUAUGGUAAAGAAAUAUCUGUAUUUUGAAAUAUGAUUAACUCUAAUGUUCGAUUUGGAGCAAUUGGCGUUAUAAAAAUUAUUGCAUUGAUGUUAAUUGGGUUGCUCAAUUAGUCAUUGUUGCCAUUUCUCAAAAGUCUUCAGAAAAGCAUCAGUUUAAAGUGAACGUGACUCAACCAAACCCAAUAAAGUAAAUAAUAUUCACUAUGAUAUUUUAAGUGUUUGAUAACUUAUAUAAAUUUGUUGAAAGUAACAUAUGGGUGAUGAGUAGCAUUUUCUUCUUCAUGGUAAUGAUGGAAAAGAGGUUUUAGUGUGUGUCUUUAUGUCUAAAAUAUGUUACGGAUUUCAUUUGGGAUGUUUGUGCCAAAAACCCACUAUGCCUCUAAAAGGCUAAGGCAAUUGGGAAUAUGAUUCUCUUCGUUUGAAAAUGGGUGAAAUAUAUCAUAAUGAAUUCAAAAUAGGAAAACAAAGCAAAAAACCUUCCUACUUGUUUCUUUUUAACACAAUGCAGGGCUCUCUUCUUUAUUAUUUUCAUCGGUUGCACUGUAUAACAUAAACUUUGAAUCUAGAGGCUAAAAAUUAUUAAACACUAUCUCGUUUUAGAUCAAGUAAAUUAGAAAAAAAAAAAAUCAAAAAGCUUCCUACUUGUUAGCUUUUAAUGAUAUAUUAUAAGUGGGUCUCACGUAUGUUAAAACUUUUAUCUUUUUUGCACUUAAUUAUUUUCCCAAUCAUAAAACCUUUUACUAGUUAUGUUUCUAGUUAGAUGUCUAGAAUAGUACUUUUAGAAACAAAAUUGUCGAUAAUUUGUAUGCUUAUUAUCUUUCGGGAAAAUAGCAUAGAAUGAAACAUACUUUAUAUGAGUUAAUAUUUUAGGAUCAUACUUGUAAAACGUAUAUAAAAAAGGCCUAUAGUUUGAAAAAUACAUAUUUUUGGGCCAUAUUAGGAAACCAAUUUUUAUUGAUGUGACAUAGGUUCGGGUUAACGUGGCGGCAUUCACAUGGAACACUUCUAGUCAGAUUGUUUAUUGUACUUUCAAAGCUUACAUUUAGGUGUAUAUAUAUAGUUUGAAAAACACACAUUCAUGGCUUUAAAUAUGAGAAAAUGGAUUUUAAUAAGUCGAUGUUUUUAAUUCAUUUUUAAUUAGUUUUUACAGUUGAAGUGUAUUUUUUUUUAAUUAUCAAAUAGGUUCUCUUAAAAAUAUUUAUUAUAGUUGAUUACUUGUCUUCAUUUACUCAUCUUUUUCAUUCUGAUCAUGAUUUUCAUUUUUCAUAUUUUUUUAAUAAUUAAAUUCAAGAACAUGUCGGCAAAAAUAAAAUAUCCUGUUUUGUACAAGUAGUCCUUUUUGUUCAUUAAUAUUCUAUUUUACUCCUCUUAUUUAAAGCUUUAUUGUUUUUGAUUAAUCUGUUUUUUCACUUUGAUCUCCAAUAUUGAAUAUUAAAUUCGUAAUGGUUACAUAAUAUUUUUAUGGUUUUUUGUUUUUAUGAUUAUAUACGUAAUGUAUUGUCACAAGAUAAAAGCGAAAUAUGAACUCCGGAUUUAAUAGUAUUUAUUUUAAUUUUGUGUAUCAUAAAAUAUUCCACAAGGAUGGGGGCAAAUUAGUUAAUUUAAAAAAGAAAAAAACUAUUAAAAGUGAUCAAUGAUUGGAGAAAGUUUAAAUUAAUAUCAUUUUUCUUGAUAAAGUUAGUGAGAAGAUGAUGUGUCAAAGCAAAAAAAUAUGCACAAGGUUGAUGAUCGGAGAUGCUUUUAUAUGGGUUAUGGUAUUAUAUGGAGGCGCUCACUCAUAAAUUAAGUGUUGGGUAACUACGUAUGCUUAUCUACCCAAAAUAGCAACGUGCUUACAAAAUUUUCUCUAUAAAAAAAAUAUGAAACUUAAAACUUGUAAAACAUAGCAAAAUACAUAAAUUUGUUUACCCAUAAUAACAAAGCAUUCACAAUUUAAUGUUACUAAUAAAGAUAAGAAAAAAAGGACAUUGACCAUAUAUAUUGAUCCCUUUUUACUUUUGUAUAAAGAAAACGUUACAAAUAUAUGCAAUGAAUGAUAGUGAGCAACUUUAUACGUCUUCCUAACAAUGUGGUAAAAUGUAAUUUGUUUUUUUACCCGUAAUUAAAUUUCUUUAAACAUAAUACCAAUGUACCUAUCAUUUUCUUAUCCAUAAUAACAACAUUCUUAUAUUUCUUUACAGUAAUCAUACCCAACUGAAAGCUAUAGGACUACUCACAACAUAUUUUCCUCCGGACCACUUUAGAUGACCAAAUCCAGUAGACCCCGAUUGCAUGGAACUAGCUGUAAAUGUAACAGUAUACACCUUUUUCUCACCUUGCUUCGUGAAAAUUAACUCUUCUGGGUCAACCGUAAUCUUGACUGCCGCCACCUUUGACCAUACCGAAACCUUAUAAGUCGCCGGAGUCCCCACAUUUUUCAGAGUCCUGGUGUACUUAACGGUGGUCGGACCACCCCCGACACCACCACCUUCGCCGGAAUCCGUCAGCAAAGGAACUGCAAAAGACGGGUAGUUAAGAUCUUCCACCCUGUAUUUCUUUCUACAUGUGAAACUUCCACCUCCAAACAUUUUAAUGGCAUUUGAACUAUAAUUCAAAGCGCAAAGAAAGCCCAAAUAGUCGUUAGGUGAGGCGUCAUAGACCAGACCAGGGUCCAUGGCUCGAAUUGGGUCUACAUGGCCCGAACCAUGGUCAAAUGGGGUCGAUGGGUUUCCGGUUGCAAUAUCCUUCAGCCCUUCACCGUUUUUGUAUGCGCUGUAAGCUGUGGUCAUAAGUGCUGAUUUUAUUUCUGCUGGUGUCCACGCAGGGUGAGCCGCCUUCAGUAAGGCGGCUAACCCGCUUACGUGGGGACAUGACAUCGAUGUCCCGGACACGAUGUUGUAUUCGACACGUCGCGUGUCUUCUGUUAAGCCGGUUGGACCGGUUUUACCGGUCCAACCGGCUAAAAUAUUUACCCCUGGUGCGAUGAAAUCUGGUUUCAGGAUUUCAGGGGUGAGCGGGUUCGGGCCCCGGGAACUGAAAGCUGCAACUACUGGUGACGGUUGGAUGUGUAAUUCGGUUACUCCGGAUGCAAUUGUAGCCGUUGGAUUGUCAUUUGAGAGUAUAUAGCUUUUUAUCGCCUCACCACCUCGGUAACCGAUGGCGGCGGUUGGGAUCAAGUGGGCGUCAGCCACCAGGUCCUCCCCGAACGUAUCGGAGUUCGCCAGAAUCAUUCCGACACCACCGGCUGCCUUCACCACCAUCCCCUUCUGCACCCGCGAAUUCCCGCCACGUUCACACAUCACAAUUUUUCCGGUGGCUCUCCCCCGUGGCAACGUACCCGGGAGACAUAAGUUCCCGGUGGUGUUGCUGAUAUUUCCGGCGUAAACAACCGGAACCACGGAUUCUGGUAGUGGUUUUCCACUAUAAAGCGAUACUCCCCGGAAUUUCUUCCCGUUUCCGAGAACAACAUACGCCGGAAAUUCACGAUCAAGGGUUCCGGCACCAACCGUAGCUAUCCAUGGCGCGACAUUCGAUAAACCAAACGGGCCGGGCCCACUGUUUCCGGCAGAACAUGCUACAAAUAUUCCACGGGAAACCGCCUUGAACGCACCAUAAGCCACCACGUCAUUGGUGUAAUCAGCAAGCGAGCCGCCAAUUGAAAGUGAUAAAACAUGGACACGAUCCGCAAUCGCCUUUUCUAUUGCCGCCAGUAUAUCGCUCCCGAAACAACCACCGAGCCAACACGCUUUAUAAACCGCCAGCCUGGCAUUCGGAGCCAUCCCACGAGCCGUCCCUUUCGCAAACCCAAAAAGACUAGCUCCGGUCACAGUUGAACCGGCGGCUGUGGUGGCGGUGUGGGUCCCGUGUCCAUCAUCAUCUAUGGCAGACCGCGAUUCUAUUGUUUCAUCAAUCGGCCCGUAUGUGGCUUCAUAUGCUCUCGAAAAGAACGUUGCCCCAAUCAGUUUCUUAUUACAGUUUGAUACACCGAAGCUCGUACCAUUCUUACACUCGCCUUUCCACCACGCCGGAAUCGGGCCGAACCCAGUGUCGUCUAAGCUUUUACUUCCGGGCCAGACACCGGUGUCCACCACCCCAAUCACCACAUCACCGCCGGAGCCCAGCCCGGAAAACAUCGUCUCCCUCCCUGCAAGUCCAAGAAACUCCGGUGACCGGGUGGUGUGAAGCUUGUAUAUAACCUCUUCUUUAACUGAUAAAACACCGUGUUUUUUCUCGAGUAAUUUCGCUUGUUCAACCGUGAGCCGGGUGGAGAACCCGUGGAUGACGUUUUCAUACAUAUACAACAUUUCCGGCGACUCGGAAACCGAUUCCAUAGAUGUUGCGUACCAGUUCCGGUGGUCAGAAUAUUCCGGCGGCAUCACCACCUUGUCCAUGUGAACGAUGUACGUUUUCCGUUCCUGGUUGGUGUUUGCCGCCGUGUAGCGGUGGCAAACCGCCAUAGUUACGGCCAUCAGGAGGAUCACCCUGGGGUUCAUUUGGUAUGGUUUAUGAGGGUAAUUAAGUAGGGAAUGAUGGAAUUGAAGUGGUGUUGGCUAGUAAUAUAUAUAUGGGGUAUGCAUGGGUACGUUGUUGCUAUCUAGGAUUUGAAGUGAUGGGGCCUACGAGAAAUGAUUUGACUCGUAAUCAGUGAGUUUGCUGUUGCUAUUUGUUAAAAGUCUCUGGAAAGGAAUCUUAUUUGUUAUUAGUGGGUACCGGUAGUGGCUGCCGGUAUUUAAUACGAUGUUAAUUGUUCGAUCAAAUUAUUAAACUUGUCGAAAGCAACAUAGAUACUAUGGAAAUAUAAGGAGUCGUUUAUUACAAAUUUAAGAUUUAAGAUAAGAUGAGUAGCUAAGAACUCGUUUGUUGUCCAAGAUGACAGACCAUGAUGGCCAUACCAUAUACCAUAUAUACUGUAUUGGAUUGAAAACAACUAAUAUUGAUAUCAAUGUGACAAUUUUUAUUUAUUUAUUUAUUUAUUUUAAAUGUCUGUCAUCCCCGUUAAAAAUAGCAUUAUAAUUUAUUUAUAAAGUUUGGUUGUCUCGUAUAACAAACGCAGUGUAAAUGUACAGAACUGUAGAUGUGGUUGUAUUUCUUAUUGUUUCCUGUCUAAUAAUUCAUGGAAAAGCCAAAAAGGUUCUUGGUGGGUGUCUGUACAACUAAUAUGUUAUCGCUUUAGUAGACGAUGAAGGAUCACUUUAUCGGAGGAAGCACUAUCGGAAAAAGCUUUUAACAAGUAUUUAAAAGUUGAAAUGAGUCGAUGGGAAUGAUUCAUCUUCCAAUAUAAGGUAUAAGUAAUGCAGAUAAAUAAAGCAAAAGUCAUAUCUUUUGAUACGUGUCUUAAAGAGACUUGAAAACUAUGUAAAAGACUAAAAGGAGCAUAUUUUAUAAACAUUAGGUAAUCAUUAUGAUCUUUAACACUCUUAAGUAACCGAGGAAUCCAAUACUUAGAAAAUACACUUCCUUUGAGUUGUGAUGUUAUUUGUAUGUUCCAUGAUAGAGGCCCUAGGAGGUUUAUUCGUAAGAGAAAACUAUUAGCCCAACCCACUGAUUACAUGAUUAUGGGAAAACACAAGUUUGGGAUUGAAAAAGUUGUUGGAUAUGCAUCUUUAAAACAUGAAAUGUUUUGUUUUGCUUCAAAUUUGAAUAAAUUUGUUGAACCAUGCUUUUGAUGAUACUAAAAUUGAUGAAAAUCGGAUAAGCGCAAUGAAUGACGAAAUUGAAGCGUUAACUAAAAAUGGUACUUGGAAAAUUACUGAUUUACCUAGUAGCAGAAAACCAAUAGGUUGCAAGUGUAUAUAAAAUAAAAUUUAACUUCAUAGCUAUGAUUCGUAACCUGUUCAGUUUGGUGCAAAUUUGAAUACUAUGAUAAAGUGAAGAGAAGAAAGUGGAAAUUAUGGAAUGUGAAGGGGUAAAGUUUGAUACGAAGAAAGAUUUUUUUUUUUUUAAUUAGCUAUACUCGAUUUCAUAUUGAUGAUCUUAUGUUGGGCCCGAGUAUGCAAAAGACAAGAUGGAGUUGUUACGUCCCGAAAAAAAAAAGAAUCAUUUUGACUUGGAGGGUUUUACGAUAUCGGAUCCCUACUAGAAGUAAUUUGACUAAUCGGAGAAUUGACUUGGAUUCUUUUAUAUGCACUUCUUGUGAUGUUGAGAUUGAAGAAACGCCUCAUUUGUUUUUGUCUUGUGAUGUUGAGGUGCAGAGUAGGGGGUGUUUGGUUUAGCUUUUCACAGCCAAAAGUCUUUUUUAUAAAAGAAAAAAAACAAAAAGAUGUUUGGCAAACUAGUAACUUUUCGAGUUUUAAUACAAGGAAAAUCAACUUUUUGGAAAAGUCAGAAAAUCCUAACUUUUUAUAACUUUUUGGAAAAGAAUUUUUGAGCUUUUAAAAGCUAAGCUAAGCCAAACACGCCCUAGGUCAAUGGGAGAACUUUAGAACUUACUUAUUCCUCAAUUUCGAUUAACCUCAAACUUAUUUUUUGGUGUGAUAAUCGGCCUAUGUCUAAUAUGAAUCAGUCUUGGAAGCUAUUUUUAUGAUGACGAUAUGAAGCCCUUUGGAGGUACCACAAUGGUGCGGUGUUUGGCUUCAACAAGUUUGGCAAGUCUAAUAUGUUUUUUUUUUUUUUUUUUUUUUUUUUUUUUUUUUUUUUUUUUUUUUUUUUUUCGGUUCUAUGUGGAAACCAUAAACUAGAAGUCAAUUGGAUUUUGUGGUUGCAUAACUCUCUUUGGGUAUUACUUUGUAAUUAUUUAUUUUUUCUACUAGCUUCUUGCUAAGCC
This 7554-nucleotide long non-coding RNA is filed under the name Lactuca sativa (garden lettuce). RNAcentral describes it as "long non-coding RNA (LSAT_LNC004206)". Lineage: Eukaryota; Viridiplantae; Streptophyta; Magnoliopsida; Asterales; Asteraceae. The record is from RNAcentral.